RNAcentral lists this ribosomal RNA (410 nucleotides) under uncultured microorganism. Its description in RNAcentral is "bacterial SSU rRNA". It matches the Rfam family "Bacterial small subunit ribosomal RNA", at positions 509 to 917 of the family's 1533-position model. The record is from RNAcentral.
CAGCCGCCGCGGUAAUACGUAGGUGGCAAGCGUUGUCCGGAAUUAUUGGGCGUAAAGCGCGCGCAGGCGGUUCCUUAAGUCUGAUGUGAAAUCUCGCGGCUCAACCGUGAGCGGUCAUUGGAAACUGGGGAACUUGAGUGCAGGAGAGAAGAGCGGAAUUCCACGUGUAGCGGUGAAAUGCGUAGAGAUGUGGAGGAACACCAGUGGCGAAGGCGGCUCUUUGGCCUGUAACUGACGCUGAGGCGCGAAAGCGUGGGGAGCAAACAGGAUUAGAUACCCUGGUAGUCCACGCCGUAAACGAUGAGUGCUAGGUGUUAGAGGGUUUCCGCCCUUUAGUGCUGCAGCUAACGCAUUAAGCACUCCGCCUGGGGAGUACGGCCGCAAGGCUGAAACUUAAAGGAAUUGGCGGG